This is a long non-coding RNA of Macrobrachium nipponense, 786 nucleotides long. RefSeq lists it as uncharacterized. Lineage: Eukaryota; Metazoa; Arthropoda; Malacostraca; Decapoda; Palaemonidae. The transcript has 3 exons. The record is from RefSeq and is a predicted model, not a curated record.
CUUACAUGUGUCGACAUGUGAAAUUGUGAACGGGAGUUUUCAUGACUGUGACAAUUCUUGAAGUUUUUGGAAUUUAGUACGUUAUUACCGAGAUGAUACGUGCUAUUUUAUGUAUGCUGCAAGACAGAAAGGAGCAAUGUUCGAAGUGAAAAGGCUAGCUUUCAUCGUUUCCCUCGAGAUCCCAAAAUGUGUAGGAAGUUGGUGAACAUCUGCCGAAGUGACCAUAGAAACACCAAAAAAACGCAAGUGUUCGGUUCAUUUUCAACAACGCGAGUCUGCAAGAAACCCCAGUCAUGCAUUGCUUAUCAAAUGCAAGGAAAUUGAAGGAUGAUGCCAAACCGAACCGACGUUUACUACCUCUUCGUGAUAGUGCCACCGUUGAUUGCCAAACCGUACCGAAGUACACCUCUGCGUGAUAGUGCCGCUGUUGAUUCAGUGAGUGCUAUUGACGUAAAAUGAUGGCAAUAUUACUGCGAGGUACCAAAGAGAGCAACAAUAUUCGACGUCCGAACUGCAAUUCAGAGUAAUAAGGGUCUCCGGGUUCUACGAUGGAAUCAACCGUCUAGCAGGGACAUCAAUUUCUCUUUUGAAAUAGAUUCAAAGCUAUGUAAGGAAAAGAGCGGAGAGAUGACGUCACAGAGGAAUUUAAUAUUGUAUCAACAUCAACAUGUACCGACGAAUUUUCAAGAAUUACAACACCAACAUUUACCCUGUACUGUCUCUGAUUACCCCGGCAUUUCGACUGGUGUAUUUUCUGUUCUUGUCAAAGUUUGGUCACUUGAUAGU